AUUGAACGCUGGCGGCAGGCCUAACACAUGCAAGUCGAACGAGUGGCGGACGGGUGAGUAAUGUCUGGGAAACUGCCUGAUGGAGGGGGAUAACUACUGGAAACGGUAGCUAAUACCGCAUACAAUCGGAUGUGCCCAGAUGGGCUUAGCUUGUUGGUGGGGUAACGGCUCACCACGGAGACGAGCCCUAGUUGGUUUGAGAGGAGGACCAGCCACACUGGGCCUGAGACAGGGUCCAGACUCCUACGGGAGGCAGCAGUGGGGAAUAUUGCACAAUGGGCGCAACCCUGAUCCAGCCAUGCCGCGUGUAUGAUGAAGGCCUUCGGGUUGUAAAGUACUUUCAGCAGGGAGGCGUUACCCGCAGAAUAAGCACCGGCUAACUCCGUGCCAGCAGCCGCGGUAAUAC
This 406-nucleotide ribosomal RNA is filed under the name uncultured bacterium. Its description in RNAcentral is "partial 16S ribosomal RNA". It matches the Rfam family "Bacterial small subunit ribosomal RNA", at positions 30 to 526 of the family's 1533-position model. The record is from RNAcentral.